Molecule: ribosomal RNA, 314 nt
Filed under: uncultured eukaryote
Lineage: Eukaryota
Description: partial 18S ribosomal RNA
Rfam family: Eukaryotic small subunit ribosomal RNA
Source: RNAcentral
CCCUUAGAUGUCCGGGGCCGCACGCGCGCUACACUGAAGGAAUCAGCGUGGCUUUCUCCCUGACCCGAAAGGGUUGGGAAACCCGUUGAAUCUCCUUCGUGAUAGGGAUUGGGGCUUGAAAUUGUUCCCCAUGAACGAGGAAUUCCCAGUAAGCGCGAGUCAUAAGCUCGCGUUGAUUACGUCCCUGCCCUUUGUACACACCGCCCGUCGCUACUACCGAUUUUGAGUGGUCCGGUGAACCUUCUGGAUUGUGCGGCUUGCCGCGCGAGAAGUUAUGUAAACCUUAUCACUUAGAGGAAGGAGAAGUCGUAACA